GUCUAUGGCCAUGCCACCCUGAACAAGCCUGAUGUCUGAUCUCAGAAGCUAAGCAGGGUCAGGCCUGGUUAGUACUUGGAUGGAAUACUACCUAGGAAGACCAGGUGCUGUAGAUA
Pteropus alecto (black flying fox) is the source of this 116-nucleotide non-coding RNA. The record is from Rfam. Lineage: Eukaryota; Metazoa; Chordata; Mammalia; Chiroptera; Pteropodidae.